AAGACUAUACUUUCAGGGAUCAUUUCUAUAGUUCGUUCUUACAUUUUCCAAAGCUUGUUUUUUGACCUAAAGUCAUCUAUUGUGUAGA
Molecule: small nucleolar RNA, 88 nt
Organism: Bos grunniens (domestic yak)
Lineage: Eukaryota; Metazoa; Chordata; Mammalia; Artiodactyla; Bovidae
Gene: U3
Rfam family: Small nucleolar RNA U3
About the family: Small nucleolar RNAs (snoRNAs) are involved in the processing and modification of rRNA in the nucleolus. There are two main classes of snoRNAs: the box C/D class, and the box H/ACA class.
Source: Ensembl